GAUGAACGCUGGCGGCGUGCCUAACACAUGCAAGUCGAGCGAACGGACGCGGCGUUUGCUUCUCUGACGUUAGGGGCGCACGUGUGUAAAACACGUGUAUAAUGUACCUAACAUACUGAGAACUCCUCGAGACACCGGCGCUAAUACGGGAUAAUCUUCUGAACCACGUGGUGCAAAGGAGAAAGUCGGUGUUGCUGUAUCUAAUAGAGGCAUCUGCGCUGCAUUAGCUAGUAGUGCAGGUAACGGCUUAUCAAGGCAAGGAUGCAUAACCGAGCGGAGAGAGUGAUCGGCCACCCUGGAACUGAGACACGGACCAUACGCCUAAGGGAGGCAGCAGUAGGGAAUCGUCCGCAAUGGGCGAGAGCCUGACGGAGCAGCGCCGCGUGAGUGAUGAAAGUCUUCGGAUCGUAAAACUCUGUUAUUAGGUAAGAACAUAUGUGUAAGUAACUGUGCACAGCUUGACGGUACCUAGUCAGAAAGCCACGGCUAACUACGUG
Molecule: ribosomal RNA, 497 nt
Filed under: uncultured bacterium
Lineage: Bacteria
Description: partial 16S ribosomal RNA
Rfam family: Bacterial small subunit ribosomal RNA
Source: RNAcentral